RNAcentral lists this ribosomal RNA (651 nucleotides) under uncultured Staphylococcus sp. Its description in RNAcentral is "bacterial SSU rRNA". It matches the Rfam family "Bacterial small subunit ribosomal RNA", at positions 1 to 636 of the family's 1533-position model. Lineage: Bacteria; Bacillati; Bacillota; Bacilli; Caryophanales; Staphylococcaceae. The record is from RNAcentral.
UUCGAUUGAGUUGAUCCUGGCUCAGGAUGAACGCUGGCGGCGUGCCUAAUACAUGCAAGUCGAGCGAACAGAUAAGGAGCUUGCUCCUUUGACGUUAGCGGCGGACGGGUGAGUAACACGUGGGUAACCUACCUAUAAGACUGGAAUAACUCCGGGAAACCGGGGCUAAUGCCGGAUAACAUUUAGAACCGCAUGGUUCUAAAGUGAAAGAUGGUUUUGCUAUCACUUAUAGAUGGACCCGCGCCGUAUUAGCUAGUUGGUAAGGUAAUGGCUUACCAAGGCAACGAUACGUAGCCGACCUGAGAGGGUGAUCGGCCACACUGGAACUGAGACACGGUCCAGACUCCUACGGGAGGCAGCAGUAGGGAAUCUUCCGCAAUGGGCGAAAGCCUGACGGAGCAACGCCGCGUGAGUGAUGAAGGGUUUCGGCUCGUAAAACUCUGUUAUUAGGGAAGAACAAACGUGUAAGUAACUGUGCACGUCUUGACGGUACCUAAUCAGAAAGCCACGGCUAACUACGUGCCAGCAGCCGCGGUAAUACGUAGGUGGCAAGCGUUAUCCGGAAUUAUUGGGCGUAAAGCGCGCGUAGGCGGUUCUUAAGUCUGAUGUGAAAGCCCACGGCUCAACCGUGGGAGGGUCAUUGGAAACUGG